RNAcentral lists this ribosomal RNA (241 nucleotides) under uncultured bacterium. RNAcentral describes it as "partial 16S ribosomal RNA". It matches the Rfam family "Bacterial small subunit ribosomal RNA", at positions 92 to 334 of the family's 1533-position model. The record is from RNAcentral.
CGACCGGCGCACGGGUGAGUAACGCGUAUGCAACCUGCCCGAUACCGGGGUAUAGCCCAUGGAAACGUGGAUUAACACCCCAUAGUACUUUUAUCUUGCAUGGGAUGUGAGUUAAAUGUUCAAGGUAUCGGAUGGGCAUGCGUCCUAUUAGUUAGUUGGCGGGGUAACAGCCCACCAAGACGAUGAUAGGUAGGGGUUCUGAGAGGAAGGUCCCCCACAUUGGAACUGAGACACGGUCCAA